CUUGUUCUAAUGGCGGUCUUCUCAUAACCGAAGCUACCGGUGUCUCUGAUACUGCAAGGAUCUUGAAGGCAUGUUAAAUAUGAAGAUUCAAGAUUUGGAGAUCGUAGAGGAACGUAGAAUCAAAAGAGCGGACAAACAUGGAAUUGUUAAAUAUGAAGAUUUGAAGAUUGUUAUUUCAUCCGAAAACGUUGUUGUUCAAGUCACUUGAUGUGUUCGAUGAUCCGACGUCAUUAACAGAGGAGGAGCUGUAUGAAUUGCGAAACAGUUGGGCAACUUGUUUUCUUGACCUAUAUAAUCCUUAGGUAGAUUAUGAUGUUGCCGAUGAGGCUUAGGAGCUAGCUAGGUUAAUUUGUGUGAUGUUACAAUGGAUUCAUAUUAAUUAUGAUGUUUUGAAUUGUAAUGACAUUUGAUAUUUUGCUUGAA
Long non-coding RNA from Trifolium pratense (red clover), 423 nucleotides. RefSeq lists it as uncharacterized. The transcript is spliced from 3 exons. The record is from RefSeq and is a predicted model, not a curated record. NCBI's taxonomy places the organism in Eukaryota, Viridiplantae, Streptophyta, Magnoliopsida, Fabales, Fabaceae.